This 544-nucleotide long non-coding RNA is filed under the name Homo sapiens (human). RNAcentral's name for it is "non-protein coding lnc-OR4F21-4:5". Lineage: Eukaryota; Metazoa; Chordata; Mammalia; Primates; Hominidae. The record is from RNAcentral.
GGGAAAAGCCUCAAGUCUGCAUAGAAAGCGCAUUUAAUCCUUUUUUAACUGGGUGAGGUUGCCUCUUGGGACCCCCAGUUGAUAGAUGAGAAGCACCUGACUUUGAAAAGGAACCGAACUCAAGCAGGCUGCAUCCUAAGCCCGGUAAGCCUUUCUGAGAGGCUGUUUCACUUCUUUGAAUCACAUCGGUUCCUGGGAGGGUGCUGGAAAUGUGCUUUGAAGCUGGGCCUGUGGGAGUGAAGGAGAGAGCAGAGCUUCCACCUGACACCCCCAACCCCACCCACACCUCCCACCUUGCACCCCACAUCCCACACUUCCUACCCCCACCCCACAAUCUUCACCCCAACCCCACCCUCUACUCCCACCCCACCGUACAGUCUCCAGCCCAAUAUCCCACACCUUCCACCUUUACCCUCACCCACCACCUCCCACUUCUCACCCCUCACCCAGUUCCCACCCUAUACCUUCCUCGCCCUCCACCCCAAACCCCAUACCCCAACCCCUCACCUGUACCCCAACCUCCACCUCCCAUCCCCCGCUCCCA